This 460-nucleotide ribosomal RNA is filed under the name uncultured bacterium. RNAcentral's name for it is "partial 16S ribosomal RNA". It matches the Rfam family "Bacterial small subunit ribosomal RNA", at positions 338 to 795 of the family's 1533-position model. The record is from RNAcentral.
CCUACGGGUGGCAGCAGUGAGGAAUAUUGGUCAAUGGGCGAGAGCCUGAACCAGCCAAGUCGCGUGAAGGAUGAAGGCCCUAUGGUUUGUAAACUUCUUUUAUAUGGGAAUAAAGUGAGGCACGUGUUCCUUUUUGUAUGUACCAUAUGAAUAAGCAUCGGCUAACUCCGUGCCAGCAGCCGCGGUAAUACGGUGGCUUCGAGCGUUAUCCGGAUUUAUUGGGUUUAAAGGUUGCGUAGGUGGUUAAUUAAGUCAGCGGUGAAAGUUUGUGGCUCAACCAUAAAAUUGCAGUUGAAACUGGCAGUCUUGAGUAUAGUUGAGGUAGGCGGAAUGCGUGGUGUAGCGGUGAAAUGCAUAGAUAUCACGCAGAACUCCGAUUGCGAAGGCAGCUUACUAAACUAUAACUGACACUGAAGCACGAAAGCGUGGGGAUCAAACAGGAUUAGAUACCCGAGUAGUC